This 307-nucleotide ribosomal RNA is filed under the name uncultured eukaryote. Its description in RNAcentral is "partial 18S ribosomal RNA". It matches the Rfam family "Eukaryotic small subunit ribosomal RNA", at positions 1470 to 1796 of the family's 1831-position model. The record is from RNAcentral.
CCCUUAGACGUUCUGGGCCGCACGCGCGCUACACUGACAAAGGCAACGAGCUACUCUUCACCGAAAGGUGUGGGUAAUCUUUUGAAACUUUGUCGUGCUGGGGAUAGAUCCUUGCAAUUUUUGAUCUUAAGCGAGGAAUUCCUAGUAAGCGCAAGUCAUCAACUUGCGUUGAUUACGUCCCUGCCCUUUGUACACACCGCCCGUCGCUACUACCGAUUGAAUGGUUUGGUGAGGCCUUCGGAUCCGCGACUCGUUUGUGGAGAAGUUGGACAAACUCAGUCAUUUAGAGGAAGUAAAAGUCGUAACA